GAUGAACGCUGGCGGCGUGCCUAAUACAUGCAAGUCGAGCGAACAGACGAGGAGCUUGCUCCUCUGACGUUAGCGGCGGACGGGUGAGUAACACGUGGAUAACCUACCUAUAAGACUGGGAUAACUUCGGGAAACCGGAGCUAAUACCGGAUAAUAUAUUGAACCGCAUGGUUCAAUAGUGAAAGACGGUUUUGCUGUCACUUAUAGAUGGAUCCGCGCCGCAUUAGCUAGUUGGUAAGGUAACGGCUUACCAAGGCAACGAUGCGUAGCCGACCUGAGAGGGUGAUCGGCCACACUGGAACUGAGACACGGUCCAGACUCCUACGGGAGGCAGCAGUAGGGAAUCUUCCGGAAUGGGCGAAAGCCUGACGGAGCAACGCCGCGUGAGUGAUGAAGGUCUUCGGAUCGUAAAACUCUGUUAUUAGGGAAGAAAAAAUGUGUAAGUAACUAUGCACGUCUUGACGGUACCUAAUCAGAAAGCCACGGCUAACUACGUG
RNAcentral lists this ribosomal RNA (497 nucleotides) under uncultured bacterium. RNAcentral's name for it is "partial 16S ribosomal RNA". It matches the Rfam family "Bacterial small subunit ribosomal RNA", at positions 28 to 507 of the family's 1533-position model. The record is from RNAcentral.